CUACGGGACGCAGCAGUGAGGAAUUUUGCGCAAUGGGCGAAAGCCUGACGCAGCAACGCCGCGUGACCGAUGAAGUUCUUAGGAGUGUAAAGGUCUGUCGUGAGGGAAGAAUAAUUUCGAUAUUAAUAGUAUCGGGAUCUGACGGUACCUCACAGGAAAGCACCGGCUAACUUCGUGCCAGCAGCCGCGGUAAUACGAGGGGUGCUAGCGUUGUCCGGAAUCAUUGGGCGUAAAGGGCAUGUAGGCUUUUUGGUAAGUCUUUUGUUAAAUCCCACUGCUUAACAGAGGAUCUGCAGAAGAAACUGCCGAAAUUGAGUUUGGAAGAGGAAAGCGGAAUUCCUGGUGUAGCGGUGACAUGCGUAGAUAUCAGGAGGAACACCAAAGGCGAAGGCAGCUUUCUGGUCCAAUACUGACGCUGAAAUGCGAAAGCGUGGGGAGCAAACAGGAUUAGAUACCCUUGUAGUC
Molecule: ribosomal RNA, 465 nt
Filed under: uncultured bacterium
Lineage: Bacteria
Description: partial 16S ribosomal RNA
Rfam family: Bacterial small subunit ribosomal RNA
Source: RNAcentral